This 1201-nucleotide long non-coding RNA is filed under the name Olea europaea (common olive). Its description in RNAcentral is "long non-coding RNA (OEUR_LNC013045)". Lineage: Eukaryota; Viridiplantae; Streptophyta; Magnoliopsida; Lamiales; Oleaceae. The record is from RNAcentral.
GUAAAUAAUUGAAGUUAAUAACUAAAACAAUCCCCCUCCAGAACAUGAUGCUCUAAAUUACCUCAACUAUUAUCCAUAUUCCCCCUAUUACUAAAAGGAAAUUUCACAUACUGUAUCUUAGAUCUACUUGAUCAAACCCUUUAAAUUCCAGAAUGUAAACAAUUUCAAUAGUAGAUUUUACUAAUUUAGCCCCUGUUUGGCCCCCAUUCUGUAACAAUAAAAAUGGGUGGAAUAAUAUUUUUUUGAAAAAUGAGUGGUUUAAAAAGAGGAAAAUUUUUCUAUUUACAUGUAAUAUUAUUUUAUGAAAGAUUGUGUAGUUGAAAAUAAGAGAGAAAAAUUGAAUGGAAAUUAAUGGGGCCAAGCGGGUGCUUAAAACCAAACUAGCUUCGUAAGAUCUUCGAUUCAAAUGUUACUCUAUGCUCGACAAAAUCUUCCAAUAUCCACUUCAAAUAAUUUCUCGCAAUCUUUUAUAUUAUGAGUAAGAUUAGAACUCUCAUCUUUAAUGCACUUUAUUGGUUUAAAUCUCUACAUUCCUUCUCUCUUUUCCAAGAUAUGAGUUCUCCCUAUUAAUGGCUCCAAGUUCAGUUCACAACUUCUCAUAUGUCUCCGCAUGGGACUCUGAAUCAUCAAUUAGAUUUACAUUCAGAUAAUUCAUACUUUAAAAGUCUCAUAUUUUGGUAAGCUUCAAAUCUCAAUUGUCAUCUAAACAUUCUUGUUCCAACAUGUUCCGAUAUUAGAUAGUUGUCUACUUUACACUCCUAACAUCUUGUUCUUCAAACACAAUUAUCCAUCCAAUUGACAUCGUGUUAAUAUCUCCUUAUAUAUCCAAUUUUUCUUACUUCAAAACUCUUAUCUUGUUAAUAACUUGGAAGCUUACACUAUCUUGCUCUAAUAAUUCAUACCUCUUUGGUACAUUAACCAAAGGGGUAAAUCCUCUGCAUUUAUAUAAAUUUUUUUAACUUUUAUACUUUUUAAUUUAUUUUCAAUAGAGUUAAUGCUCAUGACUUCGAUUUAGCAAACAUGUCGAUUGCACAAAGAAAUUGGUAAUCGGUGAACAAAAGGACAUUUUAGUGCUUGUUUGGCACCUGUUUAUAAUUUGUUUAUAAUUGAUCAAAUCACUUUUGAUCCAGCCCACCAAUACUACCCAGUGAUCCACAACAUAUUUUUUAUCUAUUUAUAAUUUAAAUAAAAAUGGUGGGCC